CAGAGGAGCUGAGGCGGCUCCAGCCUGGAAAGCCCCAGGCUACAGCCUAUCAGAAGGUCAACAGAGGAAAGAACAAGGAGAACAAAGCCCAUAGCCAACAGAGGAAUAUAAGAGAAGCAUACAUCAAACAAAACCCCCAUCAGAGCAGAGAGCAAACUUCACUACAAACACAGAGACUCUCACUCUUUCUGCAAACUUGAAUUGGAACAGACUUCUCACGCACAACUCCACGACAGACUUCCAUGUGGCCCAGAACAAAUCACUUAGCGUUUCCGCAUCACAGCUGACAUGAAAAACUGAAUAUGUUUUUAUAUUUCACUUCUGGGCAUCUUUACUCAAGAUAUAGCCUCGGUCCUGCAAUCAGAUCUACCAGCAUGGAUCACUGUGCCCACCCAAGUCCCAUUGGAGGAGAAGAGCCUUAUAUCUAAACAUCCAUUUUGUGCCUUAUACCUGUAGUAUGUUUCAUCAUCCCCAUUGAUAAAAGCCUGAA
Mauremys reevesii (Reeves's turtle) is the source of this 490-nucleotide long non-coding RNA. RefSeq lists it as uncharacterized. NCBI's taxonomy places the organism in Eukaryota, Metazoa, Chordata, Testudines, Geoemydidae. The record is from RefSeq and is a predicted model, not a curated record. The transcript is spliced from 4 exons.